Molecule: ribosomal RNA, 253 nt
Filed under: uncultured bacterium
Lineage: Bacteria
Description: partial 16S ribosomal RNA
Rfam family: Bacterial small subunit ribosomal RNA
Source: RNAcentral
GACGGAGGGUGCAAGCGUUGUUCGGAUUGACUGGGCGUAAAGGGCGUGUAGGCGGUCGGCCAAGUCUGAUGUGAAAGCCCGAGGCUCAGCCUCGGAAGUGCGUCGGAAACUAGUCGGCUGGAGCGCGAUAGAGGAGGGUGGAAUUCCUGGUGUAGCGGUGAAAUGCGUAGAUAUCGGGAGGAACACCGGUGGCGAAGGCGGUUCUCUGGGCCUGUACUGACGCUGAGGAGCGAAAGCGUGGGGAGCGAACAGG